Chinchilla lanigera (long-tailed chinchilla) is the source of this 625-nucleotide long non-coding RNA. RefSeq lists it as uncharacterized. The record is from RefSeq and is a predicted model, not a curated record. Lineage: Eukaryota; Metazoa; Chordata; Mammalia; Rodentia; Chinchillidae. The transcript is spliced from 3 exons.
CUGAGAAUGGGGAGAGACAGGAGAGAGAAGAGGGCAAGGAUGAUGUGGUUUUGGAGUAGAUAUGACAACAUUCACUUAGAUAAUGAUGGCAACUGAUAUAGUUUGAGAGUUUGCUGUGUUGUGGACAAUGAGAAAAAUUGCCUAAAUGAAGUGACAAAAUGUGCAGAUGCUGAGACCACAAGGCCCAGGGCUCGGUUUCCCUUCCACAGGGAAGGGUCCGUGAGCUGAAGAUGGCUGGAGGCAAGAACCCAAGUGUGAAGAUCUGCACUCUUCCUGUGCUCCCCUUUCUUGCAUUCCUCACUGUGAAGUACCCCAUUCCAACUAUAUAAGGAGAGAUGGUGAUUUGAAGAAAUGGGUCUCUCCCUCUCCCCAGAGCUAGCUUUGAAUCAACUAUUUUUUCCAUUUUGUCAAACAUAUGACCUCCUUUGAUCUGGUCAGUAGCAAGCAAACAAACCGAUUGUAUGAACUCGCCUGUAACAGUUAUACCUUAUAUUUGUGUUUCAAAUCAUAUCAGAUAUAGAUGUAAGUACUGUACAUCAAGAAAAAAAUCACAUAACAUACUUGAUGUGGGAUAAGUUCAAAAUCUUUGUUUUUGAAACUUAUAAGACUUUUUUGUAAAAAUAAA